UACGGAGGGUGCAAACGUUGCUCGGAAUCAUUGGGCGUAAAGCGCACGUAGGCGGUCCAGCAAGCGGGGAGUGAAAUCCCUCGGCUUAACCGAGGAAGUGCUUUCCGAACUACUGGACUUGAAUACUGAAGAGGAUCGCGGAAUUCCCGGUGUAGAGGUGAAAUUCGUAGAUAUCGGGAGGAACACCAGUGGCGAAGGCGGCGAUCUGGGCAGAUAUUGACGCUGAGGUGCGAAAGCGUGGGGAGCAAACAGG
RNAcentral lists this ribosomal RNA (253 nucleotides) under uncultured bacterium. Its description in RNAcentral is "partial 16S ribosomal RNA". It matches the Rfam family "Bacterial small subunit ribosomal RNA", at positions 524 to 776 of the family's 1533-position model. The record is from RNAcentral.